This 67-nucleotide transfer RNA is filed under the name Lamprologus ornatipinnis. Its description in RNAcentral is "tRNA-Ser". Lineage: Eukaryota; Metazoa; Chordata; Actinopteri; Cichliformes; Cichlidae. The record is from RNAcentral.
GAGAGAGGUUAAUAACAACAAAAACUGCUAAUUUUUGCCCCUUAGGUUAAAUUCCUGAGCUCACUCG